GGGUGAGUAACGCGUAUCCAACCUGCCCAUCACUUGGGGAUAACCUUGCGAAAGUAAGACUAAUACCCAAUGAUAUCUCUAGAAGGCAUCUGAAAGAGAUUAAAGAUUUAUCGGUGAUGGAUGGGGAUGCGUCUGAUUAGCUUGUUGGCGGGGUAACGGCCCACCAAAGCAACGAUCAGUAGGGGUUCUGAGAGGAAGGUCCCCCACAUUGGAACUGAGACACGGUCCAAACUCCUACGGGAGGCAGCAGUGAGGAAUAUUGGUCAAUGGACGAGAGUCUGAACCAGCCAAGUAGCGUGCAGGAUGACGGCCCUAUGGGUUGUAAACUGCUUUUAUAAGGGAAUAAAGUGAGUCUCGUGAGACUUUUUGCAUGUACCUUAUGAAUAAGGACCGGCUAAUUCCGUGCCAGCAGCCGCGGUAAUACGGAAGGUCCGGGCGUUAUCCGGAUUUAUUGGGUUUAAAGGGAGCGUAGGCCGGAGAUUAAGCGUGUUGUGAAAUGUAGAUGCUCAACAUCUGCACUGCAGCGCGAACUGGUUUCCUUGAGUACGCACAAAGUGGGCGGAAUUCGUGGUGUAGCGGUGAAAUGCUUAGAUAUCACGAAGAACCCCGAUUGCGAAGGCAGCUCACUGGAGCGCAACUGACGCUGAAGCUCGAAAGUGCGGGUAUCGAACAGGAUUAGAUACCCUGGUAGUCCGCACGGUAAACGAUGGAUGCCCGCUGUUGGUCUGAAUAGGUCAGCGGCCAAGCGAAAGCAUUAAGC
This 760-nucleotide ribosomal RNA is filed under the name uncultured bacterium. RNAcentral describes it as "bacterial SSU rRNA". It matches the Rfam family "Bacterial small subunit ribosomal RNA", at positions 104 to 865 of the family's 1533-position model. The record is from RNAcentral.